UCCCUGAUGGCUCAGGGGUAAAGAAUCUGCCUGCAAUGCAGGAGACCCAGGUUCGAUCUCUGGAUUGGGAA
RNAcentral lists this transfer RNA (71 nucleotides) under Bos taurus (domestic cattle). It matches the Rfam family "tRNA". From Rfam's summary of the family: Transfer RNA (tRNA) molecules are approximately 80 nucleotides in length. Their secondary structure includes four short double-helical elements and three loops (D, anti-codon, and T loops). Further hydrogen bonds mediate the characteristic L-shaped molecular structure. tRNAs have two regions of fundamental functional importance: the anti-codon, which is responsible for specific mRNA codon recognition, and the 3' end, to which the tRNAs corresponding amino acid is attached (by aminoacyl-tRNA synthetases). tRNAs cope with the degeneracy of the genetic code in two manners: having more than one tRNA (with a specific anti-codon) for a particular amino acid; and 'wobble' base-pairing, i.e. permitting non-standard base-pairing at the 3rd anti-codon position. Lineage: Eukaryota; Metazoa; Chordata; Mammalia; Artiodactyla; Bovidae. RNAcentral also lists the same sequence under 3 other names. The record is from Rfam by way of RNAcentral.